This 460-nucleotide ribosomal RNA is filed under the name uncultured bacterium. RNAcentral's name for it is "partial 16S ribosomal RNA". It matches the Rfam family "Bacterial small subunit ribosomal RNA", at positions 338 to 795 of the family's 1533-position model. The record is from RNAcentral.
CCUACGGGAGGCAGCAGUGAGGCAUAUUGGUCAAUGGACGAGAGUCUGAACCAGCCAAGUAGCGUGAAGGAUGACUGCACUAUGGGUUGUAAACUUCUUUUAUAUGGGAAUAAAAUGUUCCACGUGUGGGAUUUUGUAUGUACCAUAUGAAUAAGGAUCGGCUAACUCCGUGCCAGCAGCCGCGGUAAUACGGUGGAUCCGAUCGUUAUCCGGAUUUAUUGGGUUCAAAGGGGGCGUAGGUGGAUUGGUAAGUCAGUUGUGAAAGUUUGCGGCUCAACCGUAAAAUUGCAGUUGAAACUGGCAGUCUUGAGUACAGUAGAGGUGGGCGGAAUUCGUGGUGUAGCGGUGAAAUGCUUAGAUAUCACGAAGAACUCCGAUUGCGAAGGCAGUUCACUGGACUGCAACUGACACUGAGGCUCGAAAGUGUGGGUAUCAAACAGGAUUAGAUACCCCUGUAGUC